RNAcentral lists this transfer RNA (66 nucleotides) under Curculionoidea sp. 18 KM-2017. RNAcentral's name for it is "tRNA-Arg". Lineage: Eukaryota; Metazoa; Arthropoda; Insecta; Coleoptera. The record is from RNAcentral.
UAAUAAGAAGCAAAAAAUUGCAUUUUAAUUUCGACUUAAAAUUUUUGAUAAUUAUAUCCUUAUUUU